UUAUUCCUUCAACUGGAUGGUGGGCACAUGAAUGUUUAUCAUAGUACUUACUCUUUAUGCAUUUUCAUAUGUCUCAACACUUCUUAAUAAAUUUGAACCCCAAUGUGCUUUAAUUAUAAAGACUCUGAAUUACCCAAGUUAAUGAUGUAUGCAAGUGGAUGCAUUACUGCGAGGCUGUGUGUAAAUCGAUUUAUAAUCCAUUUUUAAAAUGCAACAAGCAAUAUGUUUUUCAAAAGGAUAUCAGUAGUAAUUUUCUCAUUCAACAUUCAUUCCUAGGUUCCUUGAGUGUGAAAAUUACUUAUUGAAUGAAAGCACAUUUGAUAAACAUUAACUGAAUGCUGAAUAUGUGGGCUCUGGUAUAAAGUCAACAUCCAUCACCUGGAUUAGUGCAGCAGUUUGCUCAGUAUCUGAGAAACUUAUUAAAUUCAAAGAAUAUUCAAAAAUGAAAAACAAAAGACUUAAACAUAAGACAAGACACCAUCAAACUAGAAGAGAACAUAGGCAAAACUUUCUCUGACAUCAACCAUACAGAUGUUUUCUCGGGUCAGUGUCCUGAGGCAACAGAGGAACUCGGGUCAGUCUCCUGAGGCAACAGAAA
Non-coding RNA from Sus scrofa (pig), 598 nucleotides. NCBI's taxonomy places the organism in Eukaryota, Metazoa, Chordata, Mammalia, Artiodactyla, Suidae. The record is from RefSeq and is a predicted model, not a curated record.